This is a long non-coding RNA of Mus musculus (house mouse), 1403 nucleotides long. RefSeq annotates it as predicted gene, 42150. NCBI's taxonomy places the organism in Eukaryota, Metazoa, Chordata, Mammalia, Rodentia, Muridae. The transcript has 3 exons. The record is from RefSeq and is a predicted model, not a curated record.
CACCUCUCAAGUGCUGGUAUUGUAUGCUGCCACACCCAUUUUACGUGAUGCAGGGGAUGGAUUCUAGGGCUUCUUGCAUUUUGGUUUAUUAGAGAUGCUUGAAUGUACACGGGAAAGUUUUUUUGCUGGUGCACAGGCAACUUGAAAGUGGCUACACUACUGAAGAAAAUGAGUUGAGGUGCUGUUGAAGAGAUGGUCACAGAUGCUCCCUAUGAAACACAAGCACCCAGGUUGAAACCUAUCCAGAGAGAGACCAGCCGGAGCCAGGCUCUCCUCCCUGCUUUCUCUCCAGAUGAUUCUCUUUCCCCGUGACCCAGAACCCUCAGAACCACACAGACUUCUUCCAGCUCUUCCAUCCCAAGGCUCACUGAUGUGGUACUUGCCAGUUACUGACCCUUCUGCCUUUUUGGCAUCCUUGACCUCCCCGUGCCCACCCUGUCUCUUCACUCAUCUUAAGUCCCCUGGUGAAUCAAACCCACUCUCUUGCUCACAUCCUCUUUUCCUUACUGCCCUCUCUUUACUCUUAUUUAUUCCCUUGUAAAUUUUGGUGAUGGGGAAGUCUCAGCUUAUUCUGAACCUGUACCCUUGGUUGCUGAUUGUGUUAGAGAAAAUAACAUGAUCGCAUCAACUCAUCCCACUUAAACUCACGAGCUCUGGGCAGCGGGCAUACUCCGAAAGCUCAGAUUUUUUUCUAGCCCACUCAUCUUCCCAUCCAGACGACUACUUUACACCUUCUCUUCUCCUUCUUCAAACUUCCACUAACCUUUCCCACUUCUCAGUUUGGAAACACUACCUCCUACGCCUCUAACAGAACUGAAACGUCAGGAGUCCCAAAGGUUCCCACCACCACCUCUACCCAACUGCACGCCUAGAUACAGUGUCUGUUCCCACAUAGAGACCACCAGAACUAGAUUCCAAGACAAAACCUCUCCAGGAUACUACUCCAGCAAGACUCAGAAUAAGUCUCUUACUCUGUACUUUUUUUCUAAUUUUUGUGUCAUAUGCAUCAAAAUAUAUCUCUGCAAUUUUUCAAAUUUUUUAGAAAUUAGUUUUCUGAAACAUUCACAAAUGUAUAUAAUGCAUACUGACCAAUCUUACCCCCACUACCUCCUAUCUUCCUGUUACCUAUUUAUAUCCCUUUCUCCUUCAAAUCUCUCCCUGCUCCCUUCUCUUUCAACACAGGGUUUUUCUGUGUAGUCCUGGCUAUCCUGGAACUCACUCUGUAGACCAGGCUACCCUGGAACUCAAGAGAUCUGCCUGUCUCUGCUCCCAAGUGCUGGAAUUAAAGACAUGCAUCACCAUACUUCACUAAGAUUCUAUAAUUCUUAAAAAGCUUGCUGGGGGUUGAGGAGAUGACUCAGAGGUUAAGAGCACUGACUGCUCUUCCAGAGGUCCUGAGUUCA